UACGGGGGGAGCAAGCGUUGUUCGGAUUUACUGGGCGUAAAGGGCGCGUAGGCGGCCUCCGCAAGUCAGUUGUGAAAUCUCCGAGCUUAACUCGGAAAGGUCAACUGAUACUGCGGGGCUAGAGUGCGGAAGGGGCAACUGGAAUUCUUGGUGUAGCGGUGAAAUGCGUAGAUAUCAAGAGGAACACCGGUGGCGAAGGCGGGUCUCUGGGCCGAUACUGACGCUGAGGAGCGAAAGCGUGGGGAGCGAACAGG
Molecule: ribosomal RNA, 254 nt
Filed under: uncultured bacterium
Lineage: Bacteria
Description: partial 16S ribosomal RNA
Rfam family: Bacterial small subunit ribosomal RNA
Source: RNAcentral